RNAcentral lists this small nuclear RNA (20 nucleotides) under Arabidopsis thaliana (thale cress). Its description in RNAcentral is "snRNA_04105". The record is from RNAcentral. Lineage: Eukaryota; Viridiplantae; Streptophyta; Magnoliopsida; Brassicales; Brassicaceae.
GACCAAUAAUAUCAUGUUUU